Molecule: long non-coding RNA, 2536 nt
Filed under: Zostera marina
Lineage: Eukaryota; Viridiplantae; Streptophyta; Magnoliopsida; Alismatales; Zosteraceae
Description: long non-coding RNA (ZMAR_LNC003624)
Source: RNAcentral
UUCAAAUGGCGGAAGCACACCAAGGCAAAGGGAGGGGGCAAGUAUUUAAAAAAUAAUCCUCACCUAUGGAAAAACAUAGGUAGUCGAGGAAUCACGAUCAACCUCAGUCGCGGAAGCAGCGAGCAAAGGGAGGGGGCAAGUAUUCAAGAAAGAAUUCUCACCUACGGAUGAACGUAGGUAGACGAGGGAUCACGCCCAACCUCAGUUGCAGAAACAGCGAGCAAAAGGAAGGGGCAAGUAUACAAAAGUAAACCUCACCUAUGGAAGAACAUAGGUAGGCGAGGGAUCACGCUCAACCUCAGUCGCAGAAACAACGAGCAAAAGGAGGGGGCAAGUAUACAAAAGUAAACCUCACCUAUGAGAGAACAUAGGUAGUCGAGGAAUCACACUCAACCUCAGUCGCGGAAACAGCGAGCAAAGGGAGGGGGCAAGUAUUCAAGAAAGAAUCCUCACCUACGGAUGAACGUAGGUAGACAAGGGAUCACGCCCAACCUCAGUCGCAGAAACAGCGAGCAAAAGGAGGGGGCAAGUAUACAAAAGUAAACCUCACCUAUGGAAGAACAUAGGUAAUCGGGGAAUCACGCUCAACCUCAGUCGCGGAAACAGCGAGCGAAGGGAGGGGGCAAGUAUUCAAAAAAUAAUCCUCACCUACAGAUGAACGUAGGUAGACGAGGAAGCACGCUCAACCUCAGUCGCGGAAGCAACGAGCAAAGGGAGGGGGCAAGUAUUCAAAAAAUAAUCCUCACCUAUGGAAGAAUAUAGGUAGUCGAGGAAUCACGCUCAACCUCAGUCGCAGAAGCAGCGAGCAGAGGGAGGGGGCAAGUGUUCAAAAAAUAAUAAUCCUCGCCUAUGGAAGAACAUAGGCAGUCGAGGAAGCACGCUCAACCUCAACCACGGAAAUAGCAAAUUGAGGGAGGCAAGAGACCUCAAAAGAGAGAACUUCACUUAUAAAAAUAGGUAGAAGAGACAACUCUCAAACCCAGUCACAGGGAAGGGGACUCGAACAUUGCUCGGAGAUGGCUCAGGCAAGGCGUCAAGGUGGGCAAGCAGGGUUCCGCUCGAAAAUCGGGCCAGGCAGGUGCGCAAGGAGUAUGCUUCGGCUAGGACAAAUCGGACAAUAGUUGGCAAAAGCGCGUGACAACCUCCGUGGAAGCAUAGAUACAACCUCGCAGGCGUAGAAGUGGGGGAGAACUGGUGAGAGAGGAUCUCGCAUCCUGGGACAUCACCAAAAACCCACACCUCAGCACGCAAAGAGGGGGGGAAUACUGAUAGUACAAGGUCCAACACACAGACCAUAGUACUAAAAGACGUAUCCCAAGGUAUCUAAUACGCAGAGGAGGAGGGAAUACUGGUGAUACAGCAUCCCGAACCCGGUCACAACCUACCAGCAACUAGAAGUCCGGAUAGCCUAAGAUGAGUUAAGGUACCUAUUCUAGGGUUGGGGAGGUCCCAAGUCGAAUCCUAGGAAGAUCGACUUUCCUGAGCAUCGACUUCCCUGGGAUCGACUUCUGAAUAAAGUCGAUCACCAGGAAAGUCGAUCCCCAAAAAGUCGAUAUCUGGAAAGUCGAUCUCUGGAAAGUCGAUCUUGAGCCUCGAUCUGAUCAGUUAGGCAGUUACUGCCCAAAUGACCAGAUUACCCCCAUAAGAACCCCUAUAAAUAGGAGGCAUCCCCACUCAUUAAAGGCAGGUCAUUUGGAGCGAAAAGAUUCCUAGCGAAGCAGAGCUCUGCGCACUUGAGUUCCGGUCCGGUUUCCCGCGGAGUUCCCCGCUUGGCGCUUGCUUGCGCGUCUUGGAGUACUGGUCGGGUUUCACUCCCAUCACUCACCACAGAGAAUACAAGUAUUGUUUUGAUUUGUAGACUAUCUUUUUGUGUUUUUGCAUAUUCUUUGGUAGGUAGAUUCCUCUAUCUAGCUCUUCAAAGGUAUUUGAAUAAUUUAUGAACCCCAUUAAGUUAUUAACCCAGAUACCCUUGGGAAACUAUCAGGCAAUUCCUUUUCUUUAAACAACUCCUAUAUCCUUUUGAAUGAAAGCGAUCCAUUCCACUGCUAAGUGAAAUAGUGAAGUCAAUGGUUUGGUUUAUACUUCCGUCGAUUCACUCCCUUCGAUCCAACACUUCCCUUUGAUAUGCCUUUGAAUGUUAUUACAUUGUUUGACCUUGGUAUAUCUCCCCCUUAUCUACCUUGUGUAUAUGGUAUUUUCUAAUGUCAUUGAUCUGCUUAGGAUUUAGUCAUAGAAGUUCCACAAAGCACCUCUAUAUCUCUGAGAUCUAAUCCACCUUUUGCAAAUGGUUUGGAACAAUAGAGCCACCUUGGUGAACCACGUUUGUGGAGGAGCUUAUUAUCCCGAAAGAGUAGAGAAAGGAAAAUAAUCAAAUGUGAAAAAUUGUUGAGUAACUUUUUUUAUAGGAAUAUUUUUUGUAGAAGAAUUGAAGAAAUAGUUUGGAUCCCUAAAUCCAAUUAAAUCCUUCUAAUUUGGUCUUAUGAUGACCAGAUCAUUAUUCAUCAGAAGAGAUGUGGAUUUGUUUGACUAUCAUGAU